This 493-nucleotide ribosomal RNA is filed under the name uncultured bacterium. RNAcentral's name for it is "partial 16S ribosomal RNA". It matches the Rfam family "Bacterial small subunit ribosomal RNA", at positions 28 to 523 of the family's 1533-position model. The record is from RNAcentral.
GAUGAACGCUGGCGGCGUGCCUAACACAUGCAAGUCGAACGAAGCACCUUUUAAGAUUCUUCGGAUGAUUGAUUGGUGACUGAGUGGCGGACGGGUGAGUAACGCGUGGGUAACCUGCCCUGUACAGGGGGAUAACAGUUGGAAACGGCUGCUAAUACCGCAUAAGCGCACGAGAGGACAUCCUUUUGGGUGAAAAACUCCGGUGGUACAGGAUGGGCCCGCGUCUGAUUAGCUGGUUGGCAGGGUAACGGCCUACCAAGGCGACGAUCAGUAGCCGGUCUGAGAGGAUGAACGGCCACAUUGGAACUGAGACACGGUCCAAACUCCUACGGGAGGCAGCAGUGGGGAAUAUUGCACAAUGGGGGAAGCCCUGAUGCAGCAACGCCGCGUGAGUGAAGAAGUAUUUCGGUAUGUAAAGCUCUAUCAGCAGGGAAGAUAAUGACGGUACCUGACUAAGAAGCUCCGGCUAAAUACGUGCCAGCAGCCGCGGUAA